This is a long non-coding RNA of Fundulus heteroclitus (mummichog), 522 nucleotides long. RefSeq lists it as uncharacterized. NCBI's taxonomy places the organism in Eukaryota, Metazoa, Chordata, Actinopteri, Cyprinodontiformes, Fundulidae. The transcript has 2 exons. The record is from RefSeq and is a predicted model, not a curated record.
CCCGCCACGAAGUUGCUUGCGUCAUGACGUCGUAUCAUUUUGGUUCCUGUGUCUGCUGAACUGUGCUGGGGACUGAGGCUUCUGUGGUGGCGGUGGUGAUCCCUGGUGGCGGUGUCUUGUUUUGUGUGUUUUGUUGGAGCACCUUCUUUUUUUUGUUUGCCGUGUUUUUGUAGUGUCCAGGGUGAUCCCUUUUCUUCACUGGACGUUGCCCCUUUUCUCACCACUCUUCCCCCCCCACUGGUAAGCCUCAGUUUCCUUUUGAAAUUUAAAAUAUUUUAUAAUCAAUUUAAAUAAAAAUGCAUUCACUGUUUUAACCAUUCAAUUGCAGAUUAUUGUGAUUCUUUUUAAACAAAAGACGUGUAGUGUUUAAUAAACUUUUGUAAAACUAUUUGAAUCCUGUCUCAUUUCCAGUAGAACUUACCUGUGUCCUUACUAUUUUAUUUUCCUGGAGUUAUUCCAGGUGGCGUUGUCGGUAUCCCAUAUUAACUUUAACAUCUUACAUUUGGGUUUCAUAAAAAAAAA